CUUUUUCCAAGCCAUUCACCAAAUCCGUGACACCUCCAGAAACACCCACAUCACAGUGGGGAGUUGUGAUGGAACAGGAACAGCAGAUCUUCCUCUCGCUACAUCAUGCAAACGCCUGAACGUCUCUCUCCCGCUGGUCUCUACGCCACGCAGCUGCAGUGAAACUGGCCCAGACAGUGCAGAGACACAGCCGCUCCAUCACAUUGCAAGGAAUUGCAUGUUUCCUAGUUUCGAUUCUCUGGUUCUGAAACAGGAACACCG
This 261-nucleotide long non-coding RNA is filed under the name Lepisosteus oculatus (spotted gar). Its description in RNAcentral is "lncRNA (ENSLOCG00000021871.1)". The record is from RNAcentral. Lineage: Eukaryota; Metazoa; Chordata; Actinopteri; Semionotiformes; Lepisosteidae.